AUCAUCUAAUCGAGAAAAAAUCGCCUCCCGUUACCUCAACCUCUUCGACUCCUCGUCCUGCGCCUGCUUGACUCGUCUUCCACAACACGACCCGCUGCCGCCGAGGCGAGGAGGAAGGAGAUUGGUGAUGGCGGCCGUGGGAUGCUCCAAGGCGAUCGGCGAGUUCACCCCAAGGAACAUCCCAACUUCGAGCCGGCGACUCUCCCAACGACAGACACCGGCGCGGCUUAUGGUCUUGUGGUGGAUUCCCUUGCCGCUAGGGUGUUCACGGUUGGGGGAUAAAAAGGGGCGGUGGAGCCAGGGGAGCGCCGCCCCGACGGCGAGCCACCGUCGCGCCCCGCGGCGCCUGCACGUACCCACACUCCACCGUGCUGAGCCGGCAGCGCACCGCGCCUUGCCCACGCGUCACGUGCCCCCCGAAUCGUAGUCGUGCUCCCCAGCGCUGCCACGUCUCGUCCUUGGAACUCCGGCACGGCAGCGUACGGCUCCUCCACGUCUCCAACGACCCGACCACCGCAACGUGUGAAAAUUGAAGAAAGUGUUGACAAGAUUGUGGUGAUUUGAAAGUUUAUGGGAUAGAGCUUCAAAGGUUGUGGUCAGGGUCUGUACAUGCUUUGUCGCCUUGCUCUCCCUAUUCCCCUCCGGCAGUAGAUCCUGGAGCAGCUAUGGUUCUCUCCUAGGUAGUGUUCAUCCUGGUUCCAAUCUAUUUCUUCAAGCAAAUCUUUGAGGCUGGGAGGGACGUGCUAUCAACUGUUCAAAAUCCUGUGAACCAAAGCUAAAUCAGUAGCUAAAUGGAGCUGGGAUGGCCUCAGUUUGCACGCUCAUCGAUCCAUCAUCUCAAGCAUCAUUUUCCCCCCAGCUGAUCCUAUUCAGUAUGUUGUCUUUUGUCUUGGUCUUUAUCUAAUUGUGAUUGGUACCGCUGGAAUAAACCCAUGCUUCUCAUGGAUUUGAUGAUGCAGCUCCAGCUUAUAAUCCAGAAAGUGUAUCUGGUUCUAUUUUCUAAUAGAGAUAUGUGCUCUUAUAUCAACAAUUUUCUGGUCUAGGUGCAACACAGCUUAGGAGUUAUUCAUGGGCUUGGCCAUUAUAAGCUUCUCCUCUAAUACGUCAUUUUAUAGGUUCUCAAGCCAAGGAAGCCAAGUAAUUUCUGCCACUUUGCACAAGUGGAUUGUACAUGUUUUAAAAGACUACUCUCUCUUACUCGCUCCGAUCAAUAUUAAUUGUCUCAAAUUUGCCCAAAUAUAGAUGUAUCUAUGCCUAAAAAGCAUCUAGAUACAUGUAACAUUUCGACAAUUAAUAUGGAUCGGAGGGAGUAUAUGAAUUAUCUGACAUAUUUUCAGCGAUCAAAGAACGUCAACAAUUGGAGCACACAAUUGAACUCAUACGGGCGCAGCAACGCGGGCCAUCAUGAUCUAGUUUUCCAUAAGAAUGACUCCAGUGCAUCCAACCAAGUCAGACACAAAACGUAACCGUUUGGCGAUACGGACACCCCAGGAGGGUCAGGAGAGGACGAAUGGAGCAUAAGGGAGGACAACGCAGUGUACAUGGGUUUUCUGUCAAAUUUGGGUUAGAAAUAGACCACACCGGACAGAAAAAGCAGACGGCCGUUGAAAUGGGUCGCCGAGUUGGGGUGUUGUCCGCAUGGAGAAACGGACUCGCCGGUCCAAAUGCGUCACCCUGGUAGAGCCGCCUGACAUCGGGGUAGUGACCGCUGUACAACUAGAAUUGAUGAAGAGGACACGAGACUUGUCAGAUGGAAUUAGCUUCUGAACAUCAGGUAGUGUUUUGGUUGAUAGUAAGGCGGAAUGAAAUGUAAUGAUUUUGUUUUUAUAGUUUGGUCUUUUUGGUCCGCGUUCCCUAAUCUCGGGUGACAUGUCUUCUUCAAGAUCGUUUGCUACAGCCGUCUCUUGUGGUGGGGCUGUUGCAGCCAUGUGAAGAUGUUGAGUUGGUGGUUGACACCUCCGUUGUAGGGGUGGACACUUUAAACCUGAAGACCGAACCGAAACCAAAUUAAUCGAAUUUUCGGUCUAUUUGGUGUGA
Molecule: long non-coding RNA, 2037 nt
Organism: Brachypodium distachyon (stiff brome)
Lineage: Eukaryota; Viridiplantae; Streptophyta; Magnoliopsida; Poales; Poaceae
Exons: 6
Source: RefSeq, a predicted model, not a curated record